UUUGGCAGCCAUAUCACCCUGUAGCCCAAGACUGAUCGCCCACUGAAGCUAAGCAGGGUUGAGUACCUGGAUGGGAGACCUCCUGGGAAAACUAGGUUGCUGCUGGAA
Ribosomal RNA from Sinocyclocheilus anshuiensis, 108 nucleotides. Lineage: Eukaryota; Metazoa; Chordata; Actinopteri; Cypriniformes; Cyprinidae. The record is from Ensembl.